This 367-nucleotide RNase P RNA is filed under the name Sphingomonas sp. Leaf33. RNAcentral's name for it is "Bacterial RNase P class A". It matches the Rfam family "Bacterial RNase P class A". From Rfam's summary of the family: Ribonuclease P (RNase P) is a ubiquitous endoribonuclease, found in archaea, bacteria and eukarya as well as chloroplasts and mitochondria. Its best characterised activity is the generation of mature 5'-ends of tRNAs by cleaving the 5'-leader elements of precursor-tRNAs. Lineage: Bacteria; Pseudomonadati; Pseudomonadota; Alphaproteobacteria; Sphingomonadales; Sphingomonadaceae. The record is from Rfam by way of RNAcentral.
CCAGAGGGUCGGGCGGCCGCGGGUGUCUUCGGACACGCGAGGAAAGUCCGGGCUCCACGGAAACGACGGUGGCGGGUAACGCCCGCCGGGGGUGACCCCAGGGACAGUGCAACAGAGAGCAGACGUCCGGGUUUCGGCCCGGUCAUGGUGAAAGGGUGCGGUAAGAGCGCACCGCGCGACCGGUAACGGAAGCGGCACGGUAAACCCCACCGGGAGCAAGACCGAAUAGGGACGGCACAUGGGCCUCGUUCCGGCCCGUCGUCCGGGUUGGUUGCUGGAGGCGGCGCGCAAGCGUCGUCCUAGAGGAAUGGUCGCCUAUCCGCGUUCGCGCGGUGGACAGAACCCGGCUUACAGACCCUCUGGCGCU